RNAcentral lists this long non-coding RNA (1218 nucleotides) under Scleropages formosus (Asian bonytongue). RNAcentral describes it as "lncRNA (ENSSFOG00015032206.1)". Lineage: Eukaryota; Metazoa; Chordata; Actinopteri; Osteoglossiformes; Osteoglossidae. The record is from RNAcentral.
GCUCAUCCUCACGAAGAGCAGCAGCGCACACAAAGACUCGUGUGCAGGGAAUAAAACGCAAUCGAGAGGCAAAUGUCUGUUUACCGUACCCGGUGCUAAGCAAAAAGUGUCUCCUUUGACGUGCAUUUUGGAGAUGUUAAAACCUCGCAGAUGUGAAAUUGUGGUCGAAGCCAUGCUGCGCUUUCCAGCUUACAGGAGCUGGAGGAACUGAAGUGCAGGCCGAAGGUGAAGGCGGGUGGGAAAUCACAUCCUAGCCUUGACAGCAGAGCUCAGAAGAGUCCAAAAAAAGAGGAGUUAAGCCAUCCAUGGACUUCCUUAGGACAUCCCAGCGGAGCUGCUGAAAAAGGAUUUGCGCCAGAAUGAUGUCAGGGUGUCACGGUCAAUUUGUUUGACCUUCUGAUGCCCCAAGCGAGACCCCUUCCCUCAUUUGGGAGAGUCACGUCCCUGCGUCAUAAUAACAUGCAACCCCAUUCCUCAUAAGAUCACCUAAAGCGAAGGGUCUGAACUUAAAUGAACCUUGACUUGGGUCAUUUAUGCAAACUGUGUUGUGCUCAACUGUUUUUCUUUUUACAUUUUCUCUUGCGCAAAAAAAAAAAAAAAGAGUUGGAUAAUGGAUAAAAUGGCAUGCGAAAAACCAGCCUUAAGAGCCUCAUAACUCCCAGAGCCACAUCAAAUCCGGAAGUUUCCCGAGAGACACGCGCAUUCUCGUUUCCCUUUAUUCCCGACUCGCGGCGCAAGGAAGGUAUGACUGCGUGAAACGUGCGCAGACUGGCGAGUGCAGGUGGAAGAGAGGAGACGCCGUUCUUCCUCACCCCUCUCUCUGGGAUUUACCCUCUUCUGCUUUGUAGCUGAAGCUCACUGCAAGGUGAUUAUUGAUAUUCCAACCCAAACUCCACUUAAACCGAAAUAUCAAUUAUUUACACUGCUCAGAAAGUCAGCAAAUCCAAGUUACUGUCAGAGGCCUUUUAGUGCUGUCGUUAAUCAUCUUUAUUGUAACGAGUGAUGACUAUAUUAUAAUACAGUUAAUCUAUAUUUAGAGCUGUGUUUGCAUUUAUUGGAUGGUCUAUAUUCCCCCUGGUAAUGACCAGUCCUCAUUUCAGACAGCCCUCUUUUCAAAUCUUUAGCAUUUUGUUUUGAUAGGAGGGACAUGAAAUUUUCUAGCAGCGAUGAGCCACAUGUUAUGUCAGUUUAAAUAAAAACAUAUGAAUGGCCUAUACA